This 492-nucleotide ribosomal RNA is filed under the name uncultured bacterium. RNAcentral's name for it is "partial 16S ribosomal RNA". It matches the Rfam family "Bacterial small subunit ribosomal RNA", at positions 29 to 507 of the family's 1533-position model. The record is from RNAcentral.
AGUGAACGCUGGCGGUAGGCCUAACACAUGCAAGUCGAACGGCAGCACAGUAAGAGCUUGCUCUUACGGGUGGCGAGUGGCGGACGGGUGAGGAAUACAUCGGAAUCUACUUUUUCGUGGGGGAUAACGUAGGGAAACUUACGCUAAUACCGCAUACGACCUACGGGUGAAAGCAGGGGAUCUUCGGACCUUGCGCGAUUGAAUGAGCCGAUGUCGGAUUGGCUAGUUGGCGGGGUAAAGGCCCACCAAGGCGACGAUCCGUAGCUGGUCUGAGAGGAUGAUCAGCCAAACUGGAACUGAGACACGGUCCAGACUCCUACGGGAGGCAGCAGUGGGGAAUAUUGGACAAUGGGCGCAAGCCUGAUCCAGCCAUACCGCGUGGGUGAAGAAGGCCUUCGGGUUGUAAAGCCCUUUUGUUGGGAAAGAAAAGCAGCAGGUUAAUACCCCGCUGUUCUGACGGUACCCAAAGAAUAAGCACCGGCUAACUUCGUG